AUGAUGUGGUUUAAUUCGAUGCAACGACGAAAACCUUACCUACCUUUGACAUGUACGGAAUUCGCCAGAGAUGGCUUAGUGCUCGAAAGAGAACCGUAACACAGGUGCUGCAUGGCUGUCGUCAGCUCGUGUCGUGAGAUGUUGGGUUAAGUCCCGCAACGAGCGCAACCCUUGUCAUUAGUUGCUACAUUUAGUUGGGCACUCUAAUGAGACUGCCGGUGACAAACCGGAGGAAGGUGGGGAUGACGUCAAGUCCUCAUGGCCCUUAUAGGUAGGGCUACACACGUCAUACAAUGGAUGGUACAAAGGGUCGCCAACCCGCGAGGGGGAGCCAAUCCCAUAAAACCAUUCGUAGUCCGGAUCGCAGUCUGCAACUCGACUGCGUGAAGUCGGAAUCGCUAGUAAUCGUGGAUCAGAAUGUCACGGUGAAUACGUUCCCGGGUCUU
This 446-nucleotide ribosomal RNA is filed under the name uncultured Polaromonas sp. Its description in RNAcentral is "bacterial SSU rRNA". It matches the Rfam family "Bacterial small subunit ribosomal RNA", at positions 936 to 1382 of the family's 1533-position model. The record is from RNAcentral. Lineage: Bacteria; Pseudomonadati; Pseudomonadota; Betaproteobacteria; Burkholderiales; Comamonadaceae.